AGAUUGAACGCUGGCGGAAUGCUUUACACAUGCAAGUCGAACGGCAGCACGGGGGUAACCCUGGUGGCGAGUGGCGAACGGGUGAGUAAUACAUCGGAACGUGCCCAGUCGUGGGGGAUAACGUAGCGAAAGCUACGCUAAUACCGCAUACGAACUCUGGUUGAAAGCGGGGGACUCGCAAGAGCCUCGCGCGAUUGGAGCGGCCGAUGGCAGAUUAGGUAGUUGGUGGGGUAAAGGCUCACCAAGCCUGCGAUCUGUAGCUGGUCUGAGAGGACGACCAGCCACACUGGGACUGACGACACGGCCCAGACGUCCGUACGGGAGGCAGCGAGGUAGGGAAUUUGGACAAUGGGCGACGAAGCCUGAUCCAGCCA
RNAcentral lists this ribosomal RNA (374 nucleotides) under uncultured soil bacterium. Its description in RNAcentral is "bacterial SSU rRNA". It matches the Rfam family "Bacterial small subunit ribosomal RNA", at positions 26 to 394 of the family's 1533-position model. The record is from RNAcentral.